AGGACGAACGCUGGCGGCGUGCUUAACACAUGCAAGUCGAGCGGAAAGGCCUUUCGGGGUACUCGAGCGGCGAACGGGUGAGUAACACGUGAGUAAUCUGCCCAUCGCUUCAGGAUAGCCAUCGGAAACGGUGAUUAAUACUGGAUAUGACAUUCCUUCGCAUGUUGGGGUGUGGAAAGUUUUUUCGGCGGUGGAUGUGCUCGCGGCCUAUCAGCUUGUUGGUGGGGUAAUGGCCUACCAAGGCUUUGACGGGUAGCCGGCCUGAGAGGGUGACCGGCCACACUGGGACUGGAGACACGGCCCAGACCUCCGUACGGGAGGCAGCGAGUGGGGAAUA
Molecule: ribosomal RNA, 337 nt
Filed under: uncultured soil bacterium
Lineage: Bacteria
Description: bacterial SSU rRNA
Rfam family: Bacterial small subunit ribosomal RNA
Source: RNAcentral